AUUGAACGCUGGCGGCAUGCUUUACACAUGCAAGUCGAACGGCAGCACGAGUGCUUGCACUUGGUGGCGAGUGGCGAACGGGUGAGUAAUACAUCGGAACGUAUCUUAGAGAGGGGGAUAACGCAUCGAAAGAUGUGCUAAUACCGCAUAAUCUCUGCGGAGAAAAGUAGGGGAUCGUAAGACCUUGCGCUUUUAGAGCGGCCGAUGUCUGAUUAGCUAGUUGGUGAGGUAAAGGCUCACCAAGGCAACGAUCAGUAGUUGGUCUGAGAGGAUGGCCAACCACACUGGGACUGAGACACGGCCCAGACUCCUACGGGAGGCAGCAGUGGGGAAUUUUGGACAAUGGGCGCAAGCCUGAUCCAGCCAUUCCGCGUGCAGGAUGAAGGCC
RNAcentral lists this ribosomal RNA (388 nucleotides) under uncultured bacterium. RNAcentral's name for it is "bacterial SSU rRNA". It matches the Rfam family "Bacterial small subunit ribosomal RNA", at positions 30 to 416 of the family's 1533-position model. The record is from RNAcentral.